Molecule: ribosomal RNA, 432 nt
Filed under: uncultured bacterium
Lineage: Bacteria
Description: partial 16S ribosomal RNA
Rfam family: Bacterial small subunit ribosomal RNA
Source: RNAcentral
ACGAACGCUGGCGGCAUGCCUAACACAUGCAAGUCGAACGAGACCUUCGGGUCUAGUGGCGCACGGGUGCGUAACGCGUGGGAACCUGCCCUUAGGUUCGGAAUAACUCCCCGAAAGGGGUGCUAAUACCGGAUAAUGUCUUCGGACCAAAGAUUUAUCGCCUUUGGAUGGGCCCGCGUUGGAUUAGCUAGUUGGUAGGGUAAAAGCCUACCAAGGCGACGAUCCAUAGCUGGUCUGAGAGGAUGAUCAGCCACACUGGGACUGAGACACGGCCCAGACUCCUACGGGAGGCAGCAGUGGGGAAUAUUGGACACUGGGCGAAAGCCUGAUCCAGCAAUGCCGCGUGAGUGAUGAAGGCCUUAGGGUUGUAAAGCUCUUUUACCCGGGAUGAUAAUGACAGUACCGGGAGAAUAAGCUCCGGCUAACUCCGUG